UCCUACGGGAGGCAGCAGUAGGGAAUUUUCGUCAAUGGGCGCAAGCCUGAACGAGCAAUGCCGCGUGAACGAGGAAGGUCUUCGGAUCGUAAAGUUCUGUUGAAGGGGAAAAAGAGCGGAGAGAGGAAAUGGUCUCCGAUUGAUAUUACCCUUCGAGGAAGUCACGGCUAACUACGUGCCAGCAGCCGCGGUAAUACGUAGGUGGCGAGCGUUAUCCGGAAUGAUUGGGCGUAAAGGGUGCGUAGGCGGCCUGUUAAGUCUGGAGUGAAAGGUAUCGGCUCAACCGGUACAGGCUCUGGAAACUG
RNAcentral lists this ribosomal RNA (305 nucleotides) under uncultured bacterium. RNAcentral describes it as "bacterial SSU rRNA". It matches the Rfam family "Bacterial small subunit ribosomal RNA", at positions 337 to 635 of the family's 1533-position model. The record is from RNAcentral.